CGCAUUCUCGAUGAUGUGGAUCCUCGACAACCUCGUUGAGUCCGGCAGUGCGUUCUCAAGUUUCGGCCAAGUUGAUGGCCUCUUCUUGGCUUACAGCUAGAGGUCUAUGGCAGAGGUGUUGUAGUUUGGCCCAGUGGAGGAGGCUGCGAGGGAAAUCACCGAGUCAACUACUGAGUGAGUUAUUAGAUCUGACAUCUAAAGAAUACAAAUAGCAGCUGACGACCAUGAGAUGCUGGCCUCCUCAUUGUUCUUGUUGUCAGGCCAAUACUAACUCAUUGUUCUUGCGGUCAGGCUACUACUAACUGUUUGUUGAGUAGUUCACUUGUGCCAGCAAGACGCCAUUGAUUUGCUUAUAUCCAGUCGUGCUAUUAAGUUACUGAUGAAGCAAGAUCUCAGUCUCCUUUUAGUGCCACUGCGGAGCUCACGUGAUGAUGAUGGUAUU
Triticum aestivum (bread wheat) is the source of this 442-nucleotide long non-coding RNA. RefSeq lists it as uncharacterized. The transcript is spliced from 3 exons. The record is from RefSeq and is a predicted model, not a curated record. NCBI's taxonomy places the organism in Eukaryota, Viridiplantae, Streptophyta, Magnoliopsida, Poales, Poaceae.